RNAcentral lists this ribosomal RNA (1110 nucleotides) under Enterobacteriaceae bacterium M507. Its description in RNAcentral is "bacterial SSU rRNA". It matches the Rfam family "Bacterial small subunit ribosomal RNA", at positions 28 to 1129 of the family's 1533-position model. The record is from RNAcentral. Lineage: Bacteria; Pseudomonadati; Pseudomonadota; Gammaproteobacteria; Enterobacterales; Enterobacteriaceae.
AUUGAACGCUGGCGGCAGGCCUAACACAUGCAAGUCGAGCGGUAGCACAGAGAGCUUGCUCUCGGGUGACGAGCGGCGGACGGGUGAGUAAUGUCUGGGAAACUGCCUGAUGGAGGGGGAUAACUACUGGAAACGGUAGCUAAUACCGCAUAACGUCGCAAGACCAAAGUGGGGGACCUUCGGGCCUCAUGCCAUCAGAUGUGCCCAGAUGGGAUUAGCUAGUAGGUGGGGUAAUGGCUCACCUAGGCGACGAUCCCUAGCUGGUCUGAGAGGAUGACCAGCCACACUGGAACUGAGACACGGUCCAGACUCCUACGGGAGGCAGCAGUGGGGAAUAUUGCACAAUGGGCGCAAGCCUGAUGCAGCCAUGCCGCGUGUAUGAAGAAGGCCUUCGGGUUGUAAAGUACUUUCAGCGAGGAGGAAGGCGUUAAGGUUAAUAACCUUAGCGAUUGACGUUACUCGCAGAAGAAGCACCGGCUAACUCCGUGCCAGCAGCCGCGGUAAUACGGAGGGUGCAAGCGUUAAUCGGAAUUACUGGGCGUAAAGCGCACGCAGGCGGUCUGUCAAGUCGGAUGUGAAAUCCCCGGGCUCAACCUGGGAACUGCAUUCGAAACUGGCAGGCUAGAGUCUUGUAGAGGGGGGUAGAAUUCCAGGUGUAGCGGUGAAAUGCGUAGAGAUCUGGAGGAAUACCGGUGGCGAAGGCGGCCCCCUGGACAAAGACUGACGCUCAGGUGCGAAAGCGUGGGGAGCAAACAGGAUUAGAUACCCUGGUAGUCCACGCCGUAAACGAUGUCGACUUGGAGGUUGUGCCCUUGAGGCGUGGCUUCCGGAGCUAACGCGUUAAGUCGACCGCCUGGGGAGUACGGCCGCAAGGUUAAAACUCAAAUGAAUUGACGGGGGCCCGCACAAGCGGUGGAGCAUGUGGUUUAAUUCGAUGCAACGCGAAGAACCUUACCUACUCUUGACAUCCAGAGAACUUAGCAGAGAUGCUUUGGUGCCUUCGGGAACUCUGAGACAGGUGCUGCAUGGCUGUCGUCAGCUCGUGUUGUGAAAUGUUGGGUUAAGUCCCGCAACGAGCGCAACCCUUAUCCUUUGUUGCCAGCGGUUCGG